Molecule: unclassified non-coding RNA, 413 nt
Filed under: Hevea brasiliensis (rubber tree)
Lineage: Eukaryota; Viridiplantae; Streptophyta; Magnoliopsida; Malpighiales; Euphorbiaceae
Source: RNAcentral
GGUCUAGACUAUAAAUCAAACCAACAAACAAAACUGUAAAUUAAAAGCACGCAAGCCAUCAGAUUGGUCCAUACAAGACUGGAAUUUUCUCAGUAUCAAAAUUAUGAGCAUACUAUAGAUUAUACAUUCUGUACCCUCAUUUUCGUCAAAAUGCAUCAGCUAUAAAAACACAGAUCUUAAUGAUUACUUAUAGAAGUAGCUUCUAGAAUUGUAGCCUCGCAAGAGAGCAAAAGUUCUGUUGUCAAUACCACCAAAAUACUGAGAAAUGUAGAGUAACUUUCCCAGAUGGAAAUCACACUACCUACUGACAAUCUCAGUACACACGGUUGCUGAUAGUUUGAUAAAGUGAUCUAAGUUGUGUGUUCCAUUUGUCGAUGGCAGUAUACUUCUUCAUUCCCUUUGACCUGUCUGCG